Molecule: ribosomal RNA, 247 nt
Filed under: uncultured bacterium
Lineage: Bacteria
Description: partial 16S ribosomal RNA
Rfam family: Bacterial small subunit ribosomal RNA
Source: RNAcentral
CACACCGUAAACGAUGAACACUAGAUGCUGGGGAGUUUGUUCUUCGGUGUCGCCGCUAACGCAAUAAGUGUUCCGCCUGGGGAGUACGCUCGCAAGGGUGAAACUCAAAGGAAUUGACGGGGGCCCGCACAAGCGGUGGAGCAUGUGGUUUAAUUCGAUGCAACGCGCAGAACCUUACCUGGACUUGACAUGGGGGUGACCGGACGAGAGAUCGUCCUUUCUCUUCGGAGACACCCCGCACAGGUGC